UAGGGAAUCUUCGGCAAUGGGGGGAACCCUGACCGAGCAACGCCGCGUGAGUGAAGAAGGUUUUCGGAUCGUAAAGCUCUGUUGUUAAGGAAGAACGAGUGUGAGAAUGGAAAGUUCAUACUGUGACGGUACUUAACCAGAAAGGGACGGCUAACUACGUGCCAGCAGCCGCGGUAAUACGUAGGUCCCGAGCGUUGUCCGGAUUUAUUGGGCGUAAAGCGAGCGCAGGCGGUUAGAAAAGUCUGAAGUGAAAGGCAGUGGCUCAACCAUUGUAGGCUUUGGAAACUGUUUAACUUGAGUGCAGAAGGGGAGAGUGGAAUUCCAUGUGUAGCGGUGAAAUGCGUAGAUAUAUGGAGGAACACCGGUAGCGAAGGCGGCUCUCUGGUCUGUAACUGACGCGGAGGCUCGAAAGCGUGGGGAGCGAACAGG
Molecule: ribosomal RNA, 429 nt
Filed under: Bacteroidota bacterium
Lineage: Bacteria; Pseudomonadati; Bacteroidota
Description: Bacteroidetes bacterium partial 16S ribosomal RNA
Rfam family: Bacterial small subunit ribosomal RNA
Source: RNAcentral